GACGAACGCUGGCGGCGUGCUUAACACAUGCAAGUCGAACGGAAAGGCCCUGCUUUUGUGGGGUGCUCGAGUGGCGAACGGGUGAGUAACACGUGAGUAACCUGCCCUUGACUUUGGGAUAACUUCAGGAAACUGGGGCUAAUACCGGAUAGGAGCUCCUGCUGCAUGGUGGGGGUUGGAAAGUUUCGGCGGUGGGGGAUGGACUCGCGGCCUAUCAGCUUGUUGGUGGGGUAGUGGCUUACCAAGGCUUUGACGGGUAGCCGGCCUGAGAGGGUGACCGGCCACAUUGGGACUGAGAUACGGCCCAGACUCCUACGGGAGGCAGCAGUGGGGAAUAUUGCACAAUGGGCGGAAGCCUGAUGCAGCAACGCCGCGUGCGGGAUGACGGCCUUCGGGUUGUAAACCGCUUUCGCCUGUGACGAAGCGUGAGUGACGGUAAUGGGUAAAGAAGCACCGGCUAACUACGUG
RNAcentral lists this ribosomal RNA (468 nucleotides) under uncultured bacterium. RNAcentral's name for it is "partial 16S ribosomal RNA". It matches the Rfam family "Bacterial small subunit ribosomal RNA", at positions 28 to 507 of the family's 1533-position model. The record is from RNAcentral.